AAGUCGUAACAAGGUAACCGUAGGUGAACCUGCGGUUGGAUCAUUAAACACUGCCGUAAAACUGACCAAGCAUAGUGCGCAAGCCUGUGCUUUCCAUCAGCCUAGCGACAGCUCCUUGCUGUAUCCUUCUGAUUCUAUAACCAGUUCCAGAAGUUGAAGCAGGAGUAAUGUCUUAACCUUUUGUGAACUGUUCCGUCUCUGUCAGGCAGAUAGCUAAAACCUAUCUAGCCAGCAUGUUUUUCAUGACUUGGCAACCUGACAAAGGACCCCGUCUACUUUUUUGCUUUACAUUUUGUCUGACAUUUUAUCUUGUAUUAAUAUACAAAACAACUUUUGGCAACGGAUCUCUUGGCUCUC
This 357-nucleotide unclassified non-coding RNA is filed under the name fungal sp. RNAcentral's name for it is "partial internal transcribed spacer region". The stretch from base 1 to 46 matches the Rfam family "Eukaryotic small subunit ribosomal RNA", at positions 1786 to 1831 of the family's 1831-position model. The record is from RNAcentral. Lineage: Eukaryota; Fungi.